CCAGACUCCUACGGGAGGCAGCAGUGGGGAAUAUUGGGCAAUGGGCGCAAGCCUGACCCAGCAACGCCGCGUGAAGGAAGAAGGCUUUCGGGUUGUAAACUUCUUUUAAGAGGGAAGAGCAGAAGACGGUACCUCUUGAAUAAGCCACGGCUAACUACGUGCCAGCAGCCGCGGUAAUACGUAGGGGGCAAGCGUUAUCCGGAUUUACUGGGUGUAAAGGGAGCGUAGACGGUUCUGCAAGCCAGAUGUGAAAGCCCGGGGCUCAACCCCGGGACUGCAUUUGGAACUGUAAGGCUAGAGUGUCGGAGAGGCAGGCGGAAUUCCUGGUGUAGCGGUGAAAUGCGUAGAUAUCAGGAGGAACACCGGCGGCGAAGGCGGCCUGCUGGACCGCGACUGACGUUGAGGCUCGAAAGCGUGGGGAGCGAACAGGAUUAGAUACCCUAGUAC
This 447-nucleotide ribosomal RNA is filed under the name uncultured bacterium. RNAcentral describes it as "bacterial SSU rRNA". It matches the Rfam family "Bacterial small subunit ribosomal RNA", at positions 331 to 793 of the family's 1533-position model. The record is from RNAcentral.